Molecule: long non-coding RNA, 1105 nt
Organism: Phasianus colchicus (ring-necked pheasant)
Lineage: Eukaryota; Metazoa; Chordata; Aves; Galliformes; Phasianidae
Source: RefSeq, a predicted model, not a curated record
AUAAUCUGCAAAGACAGCACGGAUUAUAACCCCAAAAUCAAGUUACACUUAGAUGCACAUAGCUAAAGUAUCAGACAGUUGGCACACAAAGCAGGAAGCUAAACCCACAGUAAAUUAACUAACUUGACUGGUAGGCAGAUAGGCUACAGAAAGGGGAGCCUGACAGCAAAGCUUGUCAGUGCCAUUCCACACAGCUGCUGGCUAAGCACAGCUGGCAGCCUUAUGGCUUGCCUGUCUGGAGGUGCUGUGCUGAAAUGAGCUAUGACAUUAGCUGAAAUACAACCGGUGCUCCACAUUCACUCUCUCUGUGCCCCAUGCUAACCACCUCCCAUACAGAAUAGCUGCUGUGUUAGCUGUCCCAGGCCCUUUCCCUAAGCAGACAAGCCCUUAACAGAUAUAGAGCAGAGCCUAGGGCUAAUCUUAAAAGGCAGAAACAUAUGGUGUGGACUAGAAAGCAAAGGAAAAACAAUAAAUGCAAUUAUUGUCCCGGAAUGUCAUUGGGGCUUUAGCUACACCCUGCUGCUUUAGGGACUGCCAAGUAACAGGGCUGAAAAUCAAAGGGAAAUUAAAGUAAGCAAUGUUACCUCCUCUUUCAGGAGUCUUGUUUAAAAUGAUAGUGGCAUUGCUCUUCUCACCCUAAUUAAUUUCCUAUUGUAGAUGCCUGGCUUUAGAGGUUAUAAUUCUUUUGAAGCCUAGAGCAAAUAAUUAAAAACUUAAUUAAAGACUCAGAUCCACAAGAAGAAUAACAAGGGAGAGAGCGUUUCUUCUGGCUCAAGGAAUCCACUUUUUGCUCACAGCCAAGUGGUGUUUCCCAGAGAACUUUGUGUCACAAAGGCCAAGAGAAGCCUGCCUGUGUGGGACAAGGAAACAGCAGGUACCCACCAUGCUGCUUCUGCAGUGGCAAUACCUCCUUUGAGGUAUUCAAGAACUAUGGAGAUGUGGCACUGAUGGACAUGAUCAACCGAGCAGUUCUCACUUGAGAUAUUUGGAAACAUCUACCUCAGAAGGGCCUGGAGAGGGAAGAAGCGCGAGGGGAAAUACAAUGCAGACCCAAGUAAUGAGUAGCAGCAGUCUCCCAUCGAGGUACCAGGACCUGUUGGAAAAG